UACGUAGGGUGCGAGCGUUGUCCGGAAUUAUUGGGCGUAAAGAGCUCGUAGGCGGUGUGUCACGUCGGCCGUGAAAACCUGCAGCUUAACUGUGGGCGUGCGGUCGAUACGGGCAUCACUGGAGUUCGGCAGGGGAGACUGGAAUUCACGGUGUAGCAGUGAAAUGCGUAGAUAUCGUAAGGAAGACCAGUGGCGAAGGCGAGUCUCUGGACAGUUGCUGACGCUGAGGCACGAAGGCCAGGGGAGCAAACGGG
RNAcentral lists this ribosomal RNA (254 nucleotides) under uncultured bacterium. RNAcentral's name for it is "partial 16S ribosomal RNA". It matches the Rfam family "Bacterial small subunit ribosomal RNA", at positions 524 to 776 of the family's 1533-position model. The record is from RNAcentral.